This 2455-nucleotide long non-coding RNA is filed under the name Phaseolus vulgaris (common bean). RNAcentral's name for it is "long non-coding RNA (PVUL_LNC002645)". Lineage: Eukaryota; Viridiplantae; Streptophyta; Magnoliopsida; Fabales; Fabaceae. The record is from RNAcentral.
GAAAUCAUUAUUUAAUAUUCAUAUAUUAGUAAUUAAAUAGAAAAAUGAAGUUCCCAUCUCACUUUCACUCGUUAUAACCAAUAAGAACUUCUCCUUGGUAAGCUUAUGCAACCUUAGCAAUUGCACUUUAUAAGUCCAAUGAAUUCAAUUGAGUCACUCCAUGAUUUUCAGAGAAAUUUCUUCUACAACCAACUAUCAUACCAUGCUUUCAUGUUGCUCGCAAGAAGAGAAGUUCAAAUAAUCAUAUAUUUUAUUUUUAUUCUUUUUAGGUUAUUAUCUAUGUUUUGAAUCAGGUUGAAGAAUGGAAGAAGAAUCUCAUGAAGAGGAAACCAACCAUGAAGGUUCAAAUUAUGAUAUCAGAAGCUCUUAUCAUACACAAGCUCAUCAAUGGCUGCCUCAUGGGAGGGUGUCCUUUUGCUGAGCUUCUUCAUUCUUUUCUCUCCAUUUUCUCAUUAUUGUGUAUUUCUUUUCAUAAGUUUUCACUUCAUAACUUAAGAUGUUGGAAUGUGAGCAUUCCAUUUUUCUUCUCAAUGGUAAAGACAAGUUUCAAGUGUUUUUCAUUCUCUUCUCCACCCACAAUUUACUUUCACUUCAUAAUCUUAAAUUAUCUUUAAUCUCAAAUUUUAAUAAAUAUAAAAUUAUUUAAUACACAAAAAUAUCCUCUUACUUUUCCAUUAACAUGAGUAUUCCAACUUCAAUUUUGUUGAAAAAUAUUAAAAGUAAUAACCUUUUUAAGUUUAAUUUGCUUUAUUUGAACCUUUCAGAGUUGCUCGUAACACAUAAGUGGAACUAAGAGGUUGUUUGGCAACAAAACCUAUAACCUAACAAGUAAAAAUAAAUCAAAGUUAUAUUGCAAAAACAAUAUGAACAUAUGUGUGGCAUUCAUAUUAAUUAUAUCAUGAACGUACAAACUCUUACCCCAAAAAAAAAAAUUAAGGAACGUUGACUAAAAUUAAAUUAGUAACAGGUUACAAAUUUAAUUAAUUUUAGAAAAUUUGCAUGUUGUGUGUGCAGUUUCGAAAUCAUUUUUGGUCCAUCAGAGCAUCUUUUUAGCAUGUUGAAAUUGAAAUAAUAUUGCGUUCUCAGUUAAGCCUGCACGAUCAGAUUCCAUUCUUAUUAAUUUCAAAUUUCUACUUGUCGGUUGAAUGUAGUCUCAACACGCUACAUUAAUCCAUUUUCUCUUCUUCCAGAUCUUACACAAUCGUUUUUAAUUACAAUAAUUACUGUAUUAAUAAGAUGUAAUCUUUUAAUUACAAUAAUUACUAUAUUCGUAGGUUAUAUCAAUAACACGCAAAGAGGGAUCAUUCCGAUUAUUUAAAGCAUCUUCUGAAGAUAAGAGUAACAAGAAACCGUAAAAAAUCAAAUUUAAUAAAUUGAAGUUUCCAUUCACUUCUAUAUACUAUUAUUAUUAUUAGUUUAUAUAUAUAUUUAAAUAUAAAGAAAUUUAAAUUGAUUCAUCUAAUCAUAACAUAAAUUAAUUCAAUUUUCAAAUAUUUAAAAUUUUUAAAAUUUUUGAUAUUUCUCGUCCAAUCACUACAUAAAAUUUAUUUUAAACAUGUUCUAAUGUUUCAACCAAUCUCUUAAAUAGGUGUGCACGAUAUAUACGGUAUAAUUUUUUUUAUAAAAAAUUGAAUAUCUUACAUUAAUUAAAAAUUAAAAUAUUUUAUAAUAUAUAAGUAGUAUAAAUUUUAUGUUAUAAAUUGAUUUUAUAAGAUUGAAUUAAAUUUAAAAUUUAUUUUGAAAAAAAAUAUCAAAAUUAUUUAAAAUUUAAUUAUAAUAAUAAUUUAUUAGACUUAUAACUACUAGGAAUUUCUUAUAAAUAUAUAGUUUAACACACGAGUUUAACUUCGUGAACAGAGUUUAACUUCGUGAACAGAGUUACCGGUCUCAAAAUAAUUCAGAAUAAUUAAAGAAUGUGUUGGAUAUUUAAUAAACAAGAAAAAGAGGUACCAAAGAAAAUUGAUAUGAGGAGAUAUUAAUAUAAUUUACGCUAUUGCUAUUUAUGAAAACGCAGAAGAAGUUCAUCAUAAACUAACCAACUAGGAAAUUGUCAUUGAUUAUCCCAUGCUAAACCGCACCAACCCAAUUGUUUGCUCCUUCAUGGUCUCUGCUUUAGUGGAGAAAUGAGGGUAGCAGCUAAAGAAGAAGAAGGAGAAGAUGCAGAAGCAUGAGAAUGAGGUCAUGAAUGAUUCUUCUUCCACUCCUCAACCUGAUUCAAAAGUUAGAUGAUAAAACGGAGAAUAAUAACAAUGAAAUAAAUAGUUAUUUGAACCUCUCUUAUUGUGAGCAACAUGAAAGCAUGGAAUGAUACUUGGUUAUAAAAAACAUCUCUCUGAACAUAACGGAGAGAUUCUAAUGAAUUCAUUGUGCUUGCAAAAUGUAAUAUCUGAGGUUCAUAAGCUUAGAUUUUAUAUCUGUGUGUCAGCCACAACCACAAGUCUCAAUCUUUUUUUUU